RNAcentral lists this ribosomal RNA (468 nucleotides) under uncultured bacterium. RNAcentral's name for it is "partial 16S ribosomal RNA". It matches the Rfam family "Bacterial small subunit ribosomal RNA", at positions 28 to 507 of the family's 1533-position model. The record is from RNAcentral.
GACGAACGCUGGCGGCGUGCUUAACACAUGCAAGUCGAACGGAAAGGCCCUGCUUUUGUGGGGUGCUCGAGUGGCGAACGGGUGAGUAACACGUGAGUAACCUGCCCUUGACUUUGGGAUAACUUCAGGAAACUGGGGCUCAUACCGGAUAGGAGCUCCUGCUGCAUGGUGGGGGUUGGAAAGUUUCGGCGGUUGGGGAUGGACUCGCGGCUUAUCAGCUUGUUGGUGGGGUAGUGGCUUACCAAGGCUUUGAAGGGUAGCCGGCCUGAGAGGGUGACCGGCCACAUGGGGACUGAGAUACGGCCCAGACUCCUACGGGAGGCAGCAGUGGGGAAUAUUGCACAAUGGGCGGAAGCCUGAUGCAGCAACGCCGCGUGCGGGAUGACGGCCUUCGGGUUGUAAACCGCUUUCGCCUGUGACGAAGCGUGAGUGACGGUAAUGGGUAAAGAAGCACCGGCUAACUACGUG